RNAcentral lists this ribosomal RNA (385 nucleotides) under uncultured Rozellomycota. Its description in RNAcentral is "SSU rRNA". It matches the Rfam family "Eukaryotic small subunit ribosomal RNA", at positions 1344 to 1759 of the family's 1831-position model. Lineage: Eukaryota; Fungi; Rozellomycota. The record is from RNAcentral.
CUACCUGUCAUACUACGAUUGUUGAUGUGAAUCGGCAAGCGUUCUAUGAGGGACUGACUGGGGUUACCAGUAGGAAGUUUGAGGCAAUAACAGGUCUGUGAUGCCCUUAGAUGUUCUGGGCUGCACGCGCGCUACACUGAUGGAGGCAGCGAGUCUUACCUGUACCGGAAGGUAUGGGAAAUCUUGUGAAACUCCAUCGUGCUGGGGAUAGACCAUUGCAAUUAUUGGUCUUCAACGAGGAAUUCCUAGUAAGCGCAAGUCAUCAGCUUGCGUUGAUUACGUCCCUGCCCUUUGUACACACCGCCCGUCGCUACUACCGAUUGAAUGGCUUAGUGAGGCCUCUGGAGCUGGGGUUCUGAGAAAUUGGGACUCUGGUGAAACUGGU